GUACCAGUAGUUUAAUAGCAAAAUACAUCGUUUCCAUCGAUGGGUCCCGCGUUCAAUUCACGGCUGGUGCA
Hypoxylon fuscum is the source of this 71-nucleotide non-coding RNA. Lineage: Eukaryota; Fungi; Ascomycota; Sordariomycetes; Xylariales; Hypoxylaceae. The record is from the annotation of a GenBank genome assembly.